UUAGGAAAUUUUGCCAAUGGGGGAAACCCUGAGCGAGUAACGCCGCGUGGAGGAAGACGGCCUUCGGGUUGUAAACUCCUUUUCUGUGGGAAGAUGAUGACGGUACCACAGGAAGAAGCCCCGGCUAACUACGUGCCAGCAGCCGCGGUAAUACGUAGGGGGCGAGCGUUGUCCGGAAUUACUGGGCGUAAAGAGCGCGUAGGCGGCAUGAUAAGUUCUGUGUGAAAGCCCCCGGCUCAACUGGGGAGGGUCGCAGAAAACUGUCAAGCUUGAGUGUCGGAGAGGGAAGUGGAAGUCCCGGAGUAGGGGUGAAAUCCGUAGAGACCGGGCCGAACACCAGUGGCGAAGGCGACUUCCUGGCCGACGACUGACGCUGAGGCGCGAAAGCGUGGGGAGCGAACGGGAUUAGAUACCCCGGUAGUCC
Molecule: ribosomal RNA, 424 nt
Filed under: uncultured bacterium
Lineage: Bacteria
Description: bacterial SSU rRNA
Rfam family: Bacterial small subunit ribosomal RNA
Source: RNAcentral